This 24-nucleotide non-coding RNA is filed under the name Drosophila melanogaster (fruit fly). Lineage: Eukaryota; Metazoa; Arthropoda; Insecta; Diptera; Drosophilidae. The record is from RNAcentral.
UCUCUCGAAUUUUUGUUAGUGAGC